UUUCUGCUUUAUCUGUCGAGUUAAUUGAGCUCUUAGGACUUGGAUUUGGUCAUUUGCUCUCCCCUUCAGUGAGCAUGUGAUACCGACCAUUUCAUCUCAUUAGCACUUGUGAUUUAUUUAAAUGAUGGUUUUUUUAGAUUCAUAACAAAUUUGAUUGAUUAAAAUUUUAGAACUGAAUUGUUAUUCUAUUCACAACCAUAGAUGCAAGUUACCCACAACUAAAUUUGAGCUACAGAAAGACUAGUUUCAUUUUUCUUCAGCUUCAUUCGUAGACCUCAUCACGUUGGCGACAUAGAACCCCGUAUACGAACCAACAGAGAAACAAUAGUCAUUUUCAUUAUUUUCCUUGGGUUCUUUCAGGUUUGCAGCCAAACGACUAGAAAUUGAGGUUGUUUCAUCAUCCGUCUCAUCAUCUAACAAUUCACUUUCAGAUUCACUGAAAAUCCUUCUGAAACCUUUGCCAUUUGUUCUGCGAAGUCGACCUUUGUCCACUGAUCUUCAGAAUUCUUGUUCUGGUCAGUUGAACCCUCAGCUGGUCCUUCUUGAAACUGGUGUGCAUAUGAAAUCAAUACAUAGCACAAGAUAGAGAAUAACCUUUCAAGGUUAGCAAUGAAAAUUAUAAAGAAAAUAACAAUAUUCGUCGUGAAGUGGAUAUAUAACUUCUGAGAAUAGUGAACGUUGAAUUUGGAAUGUGCCUUCUUUUGUUCUUCCCAGACUAAUCUCAUAUAGUGGUAAAACUUUUUAUGGGUCACUGUAAUUUCUCAUGUAAGCAGUACUUGCAACGUGCAGUAGACGGACUCAUACUACAUGUCUUGUAGAAAACUUAAAGAGUAUUAUGUAUAUAUUUGUAUUGAGAAGUGCACUACUGCUUUUAAGUCCUGGAUUCGUUUAUAAAUCACUUUCCGUCCUAUAAAAGCAAGUGUGCUUCAUGCAACACUUCUGUGGAAUACGCAAAAAUUUUGAAUUAGUGGGUUCUGCUCUCUAUACUUGCACGUGCACCCGCUCACACAUGUACACAUAUAUGUAGUCCGAGUUAGAUGCAAUUGAUUCUCUCCUAUUCGUAUCUAGUCUAAGGUUGUCACUGAUUUGAGGAGGAAGAAACAGAUAGUGAAUGGCAGGAAUAUUGAUUCUCUCCUAUUCGUAUCUAGUCUAAGUCUGUCACUGCUUCGAUGAUGGCACAAAAUCUUCAUAUACUUGAGUUGGUACAGCAGUUGUAGCUCCCUUUAAAUCCA
Long non-coding RNA from Nicotiana attenuata, 1232 nucleotides. RefSeq lists it as uncharacterized. Lineage: Eukaryota; Viridiplantae; Streptophyta; Magnoliopsida; Solanales; Solanaceae. The transcript is spliced from 2 exons. The record is from RefSeq and is a predicted model, not a curated record.